AUGCACAGCAUAAAUCCAGCUCAGAGUGUGUUUCCAGGCUCUGAGGAGAUGCUAAUUAGCAUGACAUAUCUUUGGAAACAUGGAGCCAAUAUAUCUUUGAUAUACAUGGAGCAAAUCAACAAAGAUAAUGAGUCCAGCUGGUGGUUCUGUAAGUGGGCAGAAGGAAACAAGUUAACCCAAGAUUCUUGGGACAAGGCUAGGAGAAGGGGAUUGACUGCAACGGCCUCUGAAGGGACAUCCAGAGUGGCAGGAGUGUUCUACAUGAUAGCCACCCCAUCAUGA
Molecule: long non-coding RNA, 282 nt
Filed under: Callithrix jacchus (white-tufted-ear marmoset)
Lineage: Eukaryota; Metazoa; Chordata; Mammalia; Primates; Cebidae
Description: lncRNA (ENSCJAG00000079529.1)
Source: RNAcentral